GUUCCUUGAUAGAGGGAAUUCCUAACAUCAAAACAUCAUUCCAUUAACUUCCUUUUCCAACAUAUACUUUUAAAAUCUACCUUUCUUUAGCUGCCUUGAUGUAUAACCAGUUAUUAAUAUCUAUUAAAUGCAUUUUGAUGAGUUUGAGCAUAAAGGUAUCUACAUCUAGCUGUACUUCCAAUCUCUACAUUAUUUUUUUUAAUUUAUUUUUAUUAUUUUGAAUUAUGUGUGUGCCUGCCCACAUGUGGCUAUGUGCACAGGAGUACAAGUGCUCUCAGGGACCACAGGCCUUGGCUUCCCUAAAGCUAGAGUUGUGAACUACUGUGAGCCACCAUACAUGGUGCUGGGAUGAGUCCUCUGAAGAGCAGCAAGUGACCCAUCUCUCUAGCUCCUACUUCAAGUUUUUUAUGCCAUUUAUCUAGAGCUGUCCGUGUGUGUUCCUUAGCGUACAGGUGGAGGUUCCACAGUGAAGUUGGCUGACAACCUGUGGAGUCAAUUUUUUCCUUCCAUCACGUGGGUCUCAGGGAUCAAACUCAGGCAGGCUCUCUCGGCAGCAAGUGACUUUACCUGCUGAGCUACCUCACUGGUCCCAAACUAGUUAUAUUUUAGUGUUUUCCAGUCUGGGUCUGUGAAUGGACUCCAAACAUACUUUGUACUCAAGAUCUGAGGUUUAGAUGCCUUACCCACCAGCAAGCACAGUUUCUUGAGCUUUUCUGGCCAAUGUCAACUAUACAUGACUCCCCCCAUGUGUGAGGAUCACACAUCCCAUGCAGCAGUAGACAAGAGUAUCUAACUGAGAGGCAGUGGUCCUUUGACAUCUAAUAUCCUACCACAACCCAGCUACAACCAGGGAGUAGUUUCUUUAGCAGGUGACUGCCUGUGAAAUGUGUACUUACAACCCAGUCAAACCCCACAAUUAAAAAGACUACGGCUGCAAGAUGUAUAAUUAACCUCAGGUAAGGGCAACUCUUCCAUCAAACAAGGAUUCUUAUAAGUAAGCAGCCGAUAGAGAAAGUCCUAUAAAUACAGAAAGGAAAAGCUUUCGGGGGAAUCUGAACUUGACGCUAGUAUAAACUUCAACUCAAAGACAUGUAAAUGCGGUCACUGGGACGCUCAGUCCUGAAAUGUGCCUCAGUCUUGGAAACACCAGAGGAUUAAGGGUCUCAGAGCAUUUACCACAGUCUGCCCUUUCACAAAGGCAGG
Molecule: long non-coding RNA, 1203 nt
Filed under: Mus musculus (house mouse)
Lineage: Eukaryota; Metazoa; Chordata; Mammalia; Rodentia; Muridae
Description: long non-coding RNA chr8:104438259-104439462
Source: RNAcentral